RNAcentral lists this ribosomal RNA (459 nucleotides) under uncultured bacterium. RNAcentral's name for it is "partial 16S ribosomal RNA". It matches the Rfam family "Bacterial small subunit ribosomal RNA", at positions 338 to 795 of the family's 1533-position model. The record is from RNAcentral.
CCUACGGGAGGCAGCAGUGAGGAAUAUUGGUCAAUGGGCGGGAGCCUGAACCAGCCAAGCCGCGUGAGGGAAGAAGGUACAGCGUAUCGUAAACCUCUUUUGGCAGGGAACAAAGGCGGGGACUAGUCCCCGGAUGAGGGUACCGGAAGAAAUAGCAUAGGCUAACUCCAUGGCAGCAGCAGCGGUAAGACGGAGGAUGCGAGCGUGAUCCGGAUUUAUUGGGUUUAAAGGGUGCGCAGGCGGCCUGUUAAGUCAGAGGUAAAAGCCCGGGGCUCAACCCCGGCGAGCCGUUGAAACUGGCGGGCUGGAGUUGGAGAGAAGUACGCAGAAUGCUCGGUGAAGCGGUGAAAUGCUUAGAUAUCGCGCAGAACCCCGAUUGCGAAGGCAGCGUACCGGCUCCACACUGACGCUGAGGCACGAAAGCGUGGGUAUCGAACAGGAUUAGAUACCCCGGUAGUC